RNAcentral lists this microRNA (22 nucleotides) under Rattus norvegicus (Norway rat). The record is from RNAcentral. Lineage: Eukaryota; Metazoa; Chordata; Mammalia; Rodentia; Muridae.
UAUUUAGAACGGUGCUGGUGUG